UACGGAGGGGGCUAGCGUUGUUCGGAAUUACUGGGCGUAAAGCGCACGUAGGCGGUUUUUCAAGUCAGAGGUGAAAGCCCGGGGCUCAACUCCGGAAUUGCCUUUGAAACUGGGAGACUUGAUCACGGGAGAGGUGAGUGGAAUUCCGAGUGUAGAGGUGAAAUUCGUAGAUAUUCGGAAGAACACCAGUGGCGAAGGCGGCUCACUGGACCGUUGAUGACGCUGAGGUGCGAAAGCGUGGGGAGCAAAC
RNAcentral lists this ribosomal RNA (250 nucleotides) under uncultured Sphingomonadaceae bacterium. Its description in RNAcentral is "partial 16S ribosomal RNA". It matches the Rfam family "Bacterial small subunit ribosomal RNA", at positions 524 to 773 of the family's 1533-position model. Lineage: Bacteria; Pseudomonadati; Pseudomonadota; Alphaproteobacteria; Sphingomonadales; Sphingomonadaceae. The record is from RNAcentral.